Sclerotinia nivalis is the source of this 108-nucleotide non-coding RNA. The record is from the annotation of a GenBank genome assembly. Lineage: Eukaryota; Fungi; Ascomycota; Leotiomycetes; Helotiales; Sclerotiniaceae.
GGUCGCUUAGCUCAGCUGGUUAGAGCGUGGUGCUAAUAUCCUCUGUUUAUUCCAUGUAUUCACAGAUAUACAACGCCAAGGUCGGCGGUUCGAUCCCGCCAGUGAUCA